This 869-nucleotide long non-coding RNA is filed under the name Olea europaea (common olive). Its description in RNAcentral is "long non-coding RNA (OEUR_LNC009581)". Lineage: Eukaryota; Viridiplantae; Streptophyta; Magnoliopsida; Lamiales; Oleaceae. The record is from RNAcentral.
GAAAACAAUCGCUAAUACAUUUUAAUUACUCAAAGCAACAACGAAUAUAAGCAAGUUGGAAUAAUAUUUACCCCAUAAUAGCCAAAUCUGUCUAUCCAUAAUUACAAAAUAUGUAAUCUUCUUUAGGAAUUCCCCCAUUAUCAAGUUACAAAAAGAAUUUAACUUCACGCACAAAAGUUCAAAAGUCACUUCCACUCAAAUUUCACUUUAGUAUUAAGAGAUAAAAUCCUACAAAAGCUUGUCUUGUCCCAUUAUUCCUAAGAUCGUCAUGUCACUUAACCUUCCAACAGACUUCGAUAAUGAAAAGGGCAUUGCAUUUCCAUAAGCCACAGAAGACAAAACCGAAAAAAUUACUCCAACAUUACAUAGAAGACAGGAGAUAUGUUACCCAAAAAUGAGGAUAACGUAUAUGACAACUCGUAACAUUUUCUCCCCCCAACAUGGCUUUCAUAAUUGACAUUAUAGAAUAAUCCAAAACCAAAAAGGGUAAUAACGACGAAUAAUAUGAAAAGUAGAGUCCAAAUAUUAAGUAUUGACUCGAUCAGGAAUGGACAAAAGGAAUAGUCAGAGGCAUGUUCAAGCAAUGAACCCAAAGUCAUCUAUAAAAAACACGACAGAGAACAAGAUACAAAGUACAAGCACAUUUCCUUUUGUCUGAGAGAGAAGGGACAUAAUUGACAUUAUAGAAUAAUCCAAAAUCAAAAAGGGUAAUAACGACGAAUAAUAUGAAAAGUAGAGUCCAAAUAUUAAGUAUUGACUCGAUCAGGAAUGGACAAAAGGAAUAGUCAGAGGCAUGUUCAAGCAAUGAACCCAAAGUCAUCUAUAAAAAACACGACAGAGAACAAGAUACAAAGUACAAGCACAUUUCC